GUGCUCGCUUCAACAGCACAUGUACUAAAAUUGGAAGGAGACAGAGAAGAUUAGCAUGGCCUCUGCACAAGGAUAACAUGCAAAUUCGUGAAGCGUUCCAUAUUAUA
RNAcentral lists this small nuclear RNA (107 nucleotides) under Propithecus coquereli (Coquerel's sifaka). Lineage: Eukaryota; Metazoa; Chordata; Mammalia; Primates; Indriidae. The record is from RNAcentral.